Molecule: ribosomal RNA, 337 nt
Filed under: Anaerosacchariphilus hominis
Lineage: Bacteria; Bacillati; Bacillota; Clostridia; Lachnospirales; Lachnospiraceae
Description: bacterial SSU rRNA
Rfam family: Bacterial small subunit ribosomal RNA
Source: RNAcentral
UUAAACAUGAGAGUUUGAUCCUGGCUCAGGAUGAACGCUGGCGGCGUGCUUAACACAUGCAAGUCGAACGAAGCACUUAAAUUUGAUUCUUCGGAAGAAGAUUUUUGUGACUGAGUGGCGGACGGGUGAGUAACGCGUGGGUAACCUGCCUCAUACAGGGGGAUAACAGUUAGAAAUGACUGCUAAUACCGCAUAAGCGCACAGGACCGCAUGGUCUGGUGUGAAAAACUCCGGUGGUAUGAGAUGGACCCGCGUCUGAUUAGCUAGUUGGUGAGGUAACGGCCCACCAAGGCGACGAUCAGUAGCCGACCUGAGAGGGUGACCGGCCACAUUGGGA